GACGAACGCUGGCGGCGUGCUUAACACAUGCAAGUCGAACGGAAAGGCCUUUUCGGCGGUACUCGAGUGGCGAACGGGUGAGUAACACGUGGGUGAUCUGCCCUGCACUCUGGGAUAAGCCUGGGAAACUGGGUCUAAUACCGGAUAGGACCGCACUUUAGUGUGUGUGGUGGAAAGUUUUUUCGGUGUAGGAUGAGCCCGCGGCCUAUCAGCUUGUUGGUGGGGUAAUGGCCUACCAAGGCGGCGACGGGUAGCCGGACUGAGAGGUUGGUCGGCCACAUUGGGACUGAGAUACGGCCCAGACGCCUACGGGAGGCAGCAGUGGGGAAUAUUGCACAAUGGGCGCAAGCCUGAUGCAGCGACGCCGCGGGGGGGAUGACGGCCUUCGGGUUGUAAACUCCUUUCGCCAGGGACGAAGCGUUUUGUGAUGGUACCUGGAGAAGAAGCACCGGCUAACUACGUG
This 463-nucleotide ribosomal RNA is filed under the name uncultured bacterium. RNAcentral's name for it is "partial 16S ribosomal RNA". It matches the Rfam family "Bacterial small subunit ribosomal RNA", at positions 28 to 507 of the family's 1533-position model. The record is from RNAcentral.